Long non-coding RNA from Oncorhynchus gorbuscha (pink salmon), 808 nucleotides. RefSeq lists it as uncharacterized. Lineage: Eukaryota; Metazoa; Chordata; Actinopteri; Salmoniformes; Salmonidae. The record is from RefSeq and is a predicted model, not a curated record. The transcript is spliced from 2 exons.
GCAAUCUUGGGCAGACUGAUGUUGGUGGACAGACUGCAGGAGGAAGAGAGGAUCCUGGUGCAGGAGAUGAAGAAGCACUGGGGGUGCCUACAAAGAGCAGCAGGAACUCUAGAGGCACUGUCCCUACAGCUGCAAUAUCAGAGCAAUGCAGUGGAGAUGUUGGAGGGAGGGAGGAAUGGCCUUCUCUGCCUCCUGAAGAGAAGAUUGAGUGAACUGACACAAAACACCAGGAACACCUACCACAAGCUGAUUCUGGGAGAAAGGGCUAUUUUUGAUGACUCUGAUGUAGAUUAAUACUCAGAUAUAAGUCUUAUUCCUAAAAGUCCUAUUGCUGAGAGCUCAGAUGACAACUGCUAUGUUUUCUGAAAUCAUACACCACCUCUACCUCUGUCUCUCUGUCUCGCUCUCUCCCGCAGGAGAGGGAGAAAGCAGCCACCACCUCCCUCGGGAGCAGCCUGGUCUUCCGACAUUGACCCCUGAUCCCUCACCUUCUGAACCCAUCCAGGGGAAUGUCAUUUGCCUGAUGAUGUGCUAGUGGAGAAGGAAUGUGUCAUUUCAGUGCAUUUGUGGCCAUAGUUCCUCACCUCCUCGACUCCGUUUCUUCCGGUCCUAGAGGAUGGCGACAUCAGAAUGUCGGUUGAGGACCUCUUUACUGAGGAAUGUGGUUGAUCUUCAUGAUUGUUUUAUUUCAAAUUUCUUAGAGUAUUUUCUAUGCAGCUGUGAUUGUGAUUUUGUGGAGUGAGUUGCAAAAGAGUCCUUGGUCUCAAUGGAACUGUAAAAAUAACUAAAUAAAUGCAUUAACCACUAA